This 232-nucleotide long non-coding RNA is filed under the name Capsicum annuum. RNAcentral describes it as "long non-coding RNA (CANN_LNC012908)". The record is from RNAcentral. Lineage: Eukaryota; Viridiplantae; Streptophyta; Magnoliopsida; Solanales; Solanaceae.
CCAUAUUGAACACACUCGUCUAACAGGGGUUAUGGUAGACAUUUCAGCGGCGGCCAUCUAUCCAGCUAGAUUAUGUUGCUUUAGUAUCCAUAGUAGAGUGUGAUUAUAGAUUAAGAGUUGUAUGAGACAGGGACAUUAUGUAUGAUACUGAGCACAGGAGUGAGAGAGUUGAUAUGGAGAGAUAGACCGGUAUCUAUAGUUCACCUCUGAGUGAUGUACCCUUGGAUCGAGG